ACAACGCAGUAGCGUCAGUAGCAUCAGUAGCAAAAACAAUAAUAAAUAGAAGUUAAUUCUCUUGCUAUUCAAUACAGAAGCGUCGCCUUGCCAGCCAGCAUGUGGCAGAACAGUUGACACCAUCUCAAAAAGAACCCCGUCUGGGUGGUUACAGAUCUCCUCCCAGGGCCCUCGCACCUGCUUCUGUUCCGCCAAGGCCAGCAGCUGCUUCUGAUUCGGCACCACAAAGCUAAU
Long non-coding RNA from Trichomycterus rosablanca, 234 nucleotides. RefSeq lists it as uncharacterized. The transcript is spliced from 3 exons. The record is from RefSeq and is a predicted model, not a curated record. Lineage: Eukaryota; Metazoa; Chordata; Actinopteri; Siluriformes; Trichomycteridae.